This 506-nucleotide ribosomal RNA is filed under the name uncultured bacterium. RNAcentral describes it as "partial 16S ribosomal RNA". The record is from RNAcentral.
GGAGUUAGCCGGUGCUUCUUCUGUGAGUGAUGUCCUUCCUGCCGGCUAUUAACCCGCAGGCCUUCUUCCUCACUGAAAGUGCUUUACAACCCGAAGGCCUUCUUCACACACGCGGCAUGGCUGGAUCAGGGUUGCCCCCAUUGUCCAAUAUUCCCCACUGCUGCCUCCCGUAGGAGUCUGGGCCGUGUCUCAGUCCCAGUGUGGCUGAUCAUCCUCUCAGACCAGCUACGGAUCGUCGCCUUGGUGAGCCGUUACCUCACCAACCAGCUAAUCCGACAUAGGCUCAUCCGAUAGCGCGAGGCCCGAAGGUCCCCCGCUUUCCCCCGUAGGGCGUAUGCGGUAUUAGCCUGGGUUUCCCCAGGUUAUCCCCCACUACCGGGCAGAUUCCUAUGCAUUACUCACCCGUCCGCCGCUCGCCACCAGGGAGCAAGCUCCCCGUGCUGCCGCUCGACUUGCAUGUGUUAGGCCUGCCGCCAGCGUUCAAUCUAAGCCAGGAUCAAACUUGA